GUCCUUAGUACGAGAGGACCGGGAUGGACGCACCGCUGGUGUACCAGUUGUUCUGCCAAGGGCAUCGCUGGGUAGCUAUGUGCGGACGGGAUAAGUGCUGAAAGCAUCUAAGCAUGAAGCCCCCCUCAAGAUGAGAUUUCCCAUUCCGCAAGGAAGUAAGAUCCCUGAAAGAUGAUCAGGUUGAUAGGUCUGAGGUGGAAGUGUGGCGACACAUGGAGCUGACAGAUACUAAUCGAUCGAGGACUUAACCCA
This 252-nucleotide ribosomal RNA is filed under the name Bacillus subtilis. RNAcentral's name for it is "Large Subunit Ribosomal RNA; lsuRNA; LSU rRNA". It matches the Rfam family "Bacterial large subunit ribosomal RNA", at positions 2674 to 2925 of the family's 2925-position model. Lineage: Bacteria; Bacillati; Bacillota; Bacilli; Caryophanales; Bacillaceae. The record is from RNAcentral.